UACGGGGGGGGCAAGCGUUGUUCGGAAUUAUUGGGCGUAAAGAGCUCGUAGGCGGUCUGUUACGUCGGCUGUGAAAACCUGGGGCUCAACUCCGGGCCUGCAGCCGAUACGGGCAGACUAGAGUUCGGCAGGGGAGACUGGAAUUCCUGGUGUAGCGGUGAAAUGCGUAGAUAUCGGGAGGAACACCAGUGGCGAAGGCGACUACCUGGCCUGUUCUUGACGCUGAGGCGCGAAAGCUAGGGGAGCAAACGGG
RNAcentral lists this ribosomal RNA (253 nucleotides) under uncultured bacterium. RNAcentral describes it as "partial 16S ribosomal RNA". It matches the Rfam family "Bacterial small subunit ribosomal RNA", at positions 524 to 776 of the family's 1533-position model. The record is from RNAcentral.